UACCAUGCUGAAUAUACCGGUUCUCGUUAGAUCACCGAAGUUAAGCAUCAUUGGGCGCGGUCAGUUCUUGGGUGGGUGACCAC
Non-coding RNA from Caerostris darwini, 83 nucleotides. The record is from the annotation of a GenBank genome assembly. NCBI's taxonomy places the organism in Eukaryota, Metazoa, Arthropoda, Arachnida, Araneae, Araneidae.